This 253-nucleotide ribosomal RNA is filed under the name uncultured bacterium. Its description in RNAcentral is "partial 16S ribosomal RNA". It matches the Rfam family "Bacterial small subunit ribosomal RNA", at positions 524 to 776 of the family's 1533-position model. The record is from RNAcentral.
UACGUAGGGUGCGAGCGUUGUCCGGAAUUAUUGGGCGUAAAGGGCUCGUAGGCGGUCCAUCGCGUCGGGAGUGAAAAGCUGGGGCUUAACCCCAGUCCUGCUUUCGAUACGGGUGGACUAGAGGUAGGCAGGGGAGAAUGGAAUUCCUGGUGUAGCGGUGAAAUGCGCAGAUAUCGGGAGGAACACCAAUGGCGAAGGCAGCUCGCUGGGACGUUACUGACGCUGAGACGCGAAAGCGUGGGGAGCAAACAGG